This 29-nucleotide ribosomal RNA is filed under the name Heterostelium pallidum. RNAcentral's name for it is "partial 18S ribosomal RNA". Lineage: Eukaryota; Evosea; Eumycetozoa; Acytosteliales; Acytosteliaceae. RNAcentral also lists the same sequence under 3 other names. The record is from RNAcentral.
CGUAGGUGAACCUGCGGAUGGAUCAUUUC